UGGGUGAGUAACACGUGGGUAACCUGCCCUAAAGUCUGGGAUACCACUUGGAAACAGGUGCUAAUACCGGAUAACAACAAUAGCUGCAUGGCUAUUGCUUAAAAGGCGGCGAAAGCUGUCGCUAAAGGAUGGACCCGCGGUGCAUUAGCUAGUUGGUAAGGUAAUGGCUUACCAAGGCGACGAUGCAUAGCCGAGUUAAGAGACUGAUCGGCCACAUUGGGACUGAGACACGGCCCAAACUCCUACGGGAGGCAGCAG
RNAcentral lists this ribosomal RNA (258 nucleotides) under uncultured bacterium. RNAcentral's name for it is "partial 16S ribosomal RNA". It matches the Rfam family "Bacterial small subunit ribosomal RNA", at positions 103 to 354 of the family's 1533-position model. The record is from RNAcentral.